GCUCUGCAAACAGGCGAUCGUAAAUCUCCACGAAUGGUUAUUUUACAACUGGUGCAAUAAGAUUUCUACAAGACUUUGAGGUGCUACUUAACUAUAAAGCGAAGCCACUUUAGUUCACUUACCCGUGCUUACAUGGACUUUUUUCAUCCAGGGGUAAACUACCGGCUCUUUGCAAGAGGAAUUGGAAGGGCUUUGGUUCAGAGAGUUUUGGCUGCAGGAGGGUGGCGGGCUGGGGGUGACCGGCUCGCGGGGCUGGUUUGGCUCCGAGAGGUGGCUCUGCAAUCCGGCCGGAGGAUGGACAUGACCCCGGGGGGAUAACACCGCUGCUUGGUGGCCGGAGCUCUGACAGGACGAGUAGAGCUGCUCCUUGCAGGCUGACCGCGGCUGGUACAUCGCUUCAUGGUGGAAAGGGCUCUCUCGCCUCUGGCUGCCGUAAUAUUCCGGCGAGUGAUUGGGAAGCUCCAGAAGAACUAAUUGUCCCGUGCCUGAUGCGUGGCAUUAAAGUGAGAGAAGCGAUGAAAAAUGCCGAGGAAAAUCCCCGCCUACCUGCACGAGUUUCCCUUUGUGUAUGGAACGGACCCAAACUUACGUAGAUCUGCUUUAUUGGCAUGUGAGGGGGAAAAGAAAAAAAAAGUGAGAUUGAAAGGGAACGAUGACUAGAGAAGAAGGAGAAAAAAAAAAAAAAAAGGAGAAAAGCUCUGCUGAGAGCCUGAAGUUUCCUGCUUUGCAGGAGCCGAACAGCUCCCACAUCUGAUUAGAGAGUUACGCAAUAUUUGUAGCUCUGCAAACCCGGCGAUUAUCUGGCAGGAGCAGCCCCGCAUGCAAAUUUUUUGGGCAAAGAAAUGGGAUGUCCCGAUAGCUCGACGCAAGCUCAGUUCCGAGGACUGGCGCGAGCUGCCCUCGCCGAAGAAACCACCCACGUAAUAACGACCCUGGAGAGCAACGCAAAACCCAACUGGCUUCCACGCAAACUUCGCCAAAUUACUGGGCUCGCCUCACGACAGGCAAAACUGGCAAGAGAUUCUGCGAGGGGGAACAAAAUAAAACGCGACAACUGCCCACAAAGGGUUUGGUAUUUUUUUAAAGGCGCUCUCUAAAAGCCUCCGUCACCGAGCUGCUGCAAAGCCCUUCAGUCCAAGUCUACUGUCUCCAGGUGACCUCACAGGCUUCAUUUUUAUCCUCCCCAGACCGUUAUUUCAGUCUUCUUUCUCUUUCUUAUUUCCCUUCUUGCAUUUCCCCCCUCUGCUCCCGCCUCUUUUCCGUUCUUUCUCGUAUUUUCCUAUUUUCUUUCGCUGUUUCUUUCUCUCCUUCUCUCCGUUUCUUUCUCUCCCCUUUCUUCCAUUCUCCUUUCUCUCCCCCUUCCCUCUCUCCCUCACCUUUACGUUACACAUUUUCCGGGGAAAAACGGCGCUCAAACAGAUUUCCACCAGCCCAAAUUUCUUCCAGUGCCUCCCUUCUUCAUCACCCCACCCUUUUCUUUCUCUCCCCCCCCCUCCCCGGGCAGA
This is a long non-coding RNA of Chiroxiphia lanceolata (lance-tailed manakin), 1505 nucleotides long. RefSeq lists it as uncharacterized. Lineage: Eukaryota; Metazoa; Chordata; Aves; Passeriformes; Pipridae. The record is from RefSeq and is a predicted model, not a curated record. The transcript is spliced from 4 exons.